Molecule: RNA transcript, 1403 nt
Organism: Mastomys coucha (southern multimammate mouse)
Lineage: Eukaryota; Metazoa; Chordata; Mammalia; Rodentia; Muridae
Gene name: prohibitin pseudogene
Exons: 2
Source: RefSeq, a predicted model, not a curated record
GCAACAGAAGGAGUCAUGGCUGCCAAAGUGUUUGAGUCCAUCGGGAAGUUCGGCCUGGCGUUAGUUGCAGGAGAUGUGAACUCUGCUUUAUAUAAUGUGGAUGCUGGACACAGAGCUGUCAUCUUUGACCGAUUCCAUGGCAUACAGGACAUUGUGGUAGAGGAAGGAACUCACUUUCUCGUCCCUCGAGUACAGAAACCAGUUAUUUUUGACUGCCGCUCUCGACCACGGAAUGUACCUGUCAUCACCGGUAGCAAAGACUUGCAGAACGUCAACAUCACACUGCGCAUCCUCUUCCGGCCUGUGGUGAGGACUAUGAUGAGCAGGUACUGCCGUCUGUCACCACAGAGAUCCUCAAGUCGGUGGUGGCUCCGUUCGAUGCUGGAGAAUUUAUUACCUAGCGAGUGCUGGUCUCCAGGCAGGUGAGCGAUGACCUCACAGAGCGAGCAGCAACAUUUGGCCUUAUCCUGGAUGACGUGUCCCUGACACAUCUGACCUUCGGGAAGGAGUUCACAGAGGCAGGAGAAGCCAAACAGGUGGCUCAGCAGGAAGCGGAGAGAGCCAGAUCUGUGGUGGAAAAGGCUGAACAGCAGCAGAAGGCAGCCAUCAUCUCCGCUGAGGGUGACUCCAAGGCAGCUGAGCUGAUCGCCAACUCGUUGGCCACAACAGACGAUGGCCUGAUUGAGCUGCGCAAGCCGGAGGCUGCUGAGGACAUUGGUACCAGCUCUCCCGCUCUCGGGAACAUCACAUACCUUACAGGAGGGCAGUCUGUGCUUCUCCAGCUUCCCCAGUAAGGUCGGCCGGGCCACGGCCUCCAUCAUGCUGAACCAUGCCUUCCCUUCUGCCCCACCUUAGAAAUCACUGUGAAAUUUAAUGAUUGGCUUAAAGUGAGGAAAAUAAAGUUCCAGAGAAUGGAGAUCUGGAUGAUGAUGCUGAGGCCAUCAUGGCUGCGGACUUUGAAAUUGGUCACUUUUUACGUGAGCGCAUAAUCCCAAGAUCAGUGUUAUACUUCACUGGAGAAGCUAUUGAGGAAGAUGACAAUGAUUAUGAUGAAGAAGGUGAAGAAGCUGAUGAGGAAGGGGAAGAAGGAGAUGAGGAAAACGAUCCAGACUAUGACCCAAAGAAGGAUUAAAACCCAGCCGAGUGCAAGCAGCAGUGAGCAGUGUGACUGGCUUUGAGGACGGCCUCCCUGGCCUACCUUCUGCUUUCCUGAAAAGAUGAAUAUACAUCAUUUGAACAUAAAAAAAAAGAAAAAGAAAAGAAAAGAAUAUGAUAUUAAGUCAAGGGGCCAAAAGAUCAGAAGGUGUUAAGAUCACUGGUAAAUUUUUGCCAUAUGUAUACUUCGGGGAUACUUAACAUUUUGUUAUGAUAUUCAGUACACUGAAAAUCUAAAGAACUUAUAU